AAACCAGCACCUCAAGUGGUCAGGAUGAUUAUUGGGCCUAAAGCAUCCGUAGUCGGCUCUGUAAGUUUUCGGUUAAAUCUGUACGCUUAACGUACAGGCUGCUGGAAAUACUGCAGAGCUAGGGAGUGGGAGAGGUAGACGGUACUCGGGAGGAAGUGGUAAAAUGCUUUGAUCUCUCGAUGACCACCUGUGGCGAAGGCGGUCUACCAGAACACGUCCGACGGUGAGGGAUGAAAGCUGGGGGAGCAAACCGGAUUAGAAACCCGAGUAGUCC
RNAcentral lists this ribosomal RNA (274 nucleotides) under uncultured bacterium. Its description in RNAcentral is "partial 16S ribosomal RNA". It matches the Rfam family "Archaeal small subunit ribosomal RNA", at positions 473 to 747 of the family's 1478-position model. The record is from RNAcentral.